CUCCAGUCUGCUUUUUUGUUGAGUGAAGAUUCUGCUCCCUUCCAGCUUGUGCUUUGCCAAGUCCAUUAUCCACCUUGGAUGGCAGUUUGCAAACUGCAGCCACCCGUAAUCCCAAGAUGUUGCUGCUGGAUUUUUCCAGGUUCUCAUCACUGGUGAGCACUUAGAGAACAUCUGCAAACAGCAGGAGGGGCUGGCACAGUGUGUUCCACUGGCAGAUGACAUCUGUAACACUGGCACAUCCAACUGGCACAGGAGAGCUGCUCUGAGCUCCUGGGCAGCAUCCAGAGAGGGGAGUUUGGAGAGAUCACCUCUAAAAUUCAGCCAGGGUGCCACAAGGAGAAAGGAAAUCCUGAAGAGAGCUGGCCUGCAGCAAGGUACAGAACAGAACUAUUUAAAUCAAGAAAUAUCUCUCCUUUCUUGUCUUGGAGCUGGCUGUGUCAGUCUUCAGUUUUCAGUGGGGAAAAAUCCCAGCCCAUGGAAUUUGUGGCUUUCUAAACCAUUCCUUUGUGUGGUGACUUCACAUCAGAGCAGAUCCUGCUUCUCCAGAGGGGUGGGAGCAGGGAUUGCUGGUCCACAGGAAAUUUUGGGUUGUUGUGGCCUUGGCUGUCAGAGUGUGGGGGUUUGUUGGCCAUAAUUCCUGUUCCAAGCCAAAAAAAGCACUCACGUGAGGUUUGUUGUGACUGCCUUUGGCUCUGGGAUGGGUUUCCACCUUCCAAGCAAACAUCCAACCAUUCUGCUGCCUCAUUCUUGUGGAUGCUCAUUGUAAAGCAAAGUCCCAGCUUUAACACCCCAAAGCUCUUUGCUAAGUGGAGAAUUGUUCUCAGGCUGAGGAAUUAAUAGCAAAGUUUCCCUGACAGAAAGAGCCAGGCAUUCAUCCCACAGCAAUUGUUCCCAGAACUGGCAAACACAAAUUAAAGCACUUUGCUGCUGCAUUUCUUUUUUUCUGUGAAGGUCUUUAUUUAUAACAUUUGCUGUUUAGGUUUGAAAUCUCAGCCCUGUAUAUGGUUACACACAAAUUACACAUGAAAACAAAAUGUGGCUGGAGACAAGAAUGAACAUUAUCACCAAGAGAAAUGAUUGUUUUCAGAAAUACAUCCAAA
This 1100-nucleotide long non-coding RNA is filed under the name Parus major (Great Tit). Its description in RNAcentral is "lncRNA (ENSPMJG00000005870.1)". Lineage: Eukaryota; Metazoa; Chordata; Aves; Passeriformes; Paridae. The record is from RNAcentral.